AUUUAAAUAGGAAGUGUAACAUUUGCAGAUGUUUUCAAUUAAAUUUUAUUUUUUGUUUUCAUUUCAGAUGGCCAAAGCAGUAAUGGAAGCAUUCCCAAAUAAACCAGAAAUGACAUUUUGACGACAAAAAAAGAGAUGGCCCAGGCACGAAGGACAUUUGCAAAGACAAUACUUGAGGCCUCAGUUUUAGUAUUUGACAGUGACACCAACUGUGCCAUGUGUGCAACAGCGAAACCACCCAAUCCAGGACCCUCCAUCACUGACUGGAUCCAGUGUGAUAACUGCAACUGCUGGUUCCAUUCUGAAUGCCUGGACAUGACAAAUGAACAGCUCAGCAGCGCUCAGAAGACAGAGUGGAAGUGUGUGCUUUGUGUAACCUAAUUCCACAUGCAGUGAAAGCUACUAGAAUAAUCUGCUUAUAGUUAUUAUUGGUGUUUUGAGGAACACAUGUGUAAAACACAAUAUGUAUAACAUUCUUGCUUUGAGCACGUAUUUUAAGUAUUUCCUUUUUGAUUUUUUGGGUUGAUUUGUGUGAUGACAGAUAAUGAAUAAUAAUAUAUCAAAAAUGUAUAAUAGUAAUCUGAGAAAUCUGUAAUAUGAGAAAUGUAAUUUCUCACCCCAACCGGUCACAGCAGAUGGCCGCCCCUCCCUGAGCCUGGUUCUGCUGGAGGUUUCUUCCUGUUAGAAGGGAGUUUUUCCUUCCCACUGUCGCCAAAGUGCUUGCUCAUAGGGGGUCAUAUGAUUGUUGGGU
This is a long non-coding RNA of Oreochromis niloticus (Nile tilapia), 751 nucleotides long. RefSeq lists it as uncharacterized. The transcript is spliced from 3 exons. NCBI's taxonomy places the organism in Eukaryota, Metazoa, Chordata, Actinopteri, Cichliformes, Cichlidae. The record is from RefSeq and is a predicted model, not a curated record.